Molecule: long non-coding RNA, 1496 nt
Organism: Formica exsecta
Lineage: Eukaryota; Metazoa; Arthropoda; Insecta; Hymenoptera; Formicidae
Exons: 2
Source: RefSeq, a predicted model, not a curated record
CACGCAUGUCACGUGACCGCUCGUACUCACCGUCCAUUGGUGGCGCGCGACGCCCGCGUAGCGUCGUACUACGCGAGGACGUGCGGCGCACCGCGUUCCAUUCACUACCACCGUAACAUCGUGUAGCACCGUGGCCGGUGUGGUAGCUAAGCGUCCUAUCGCCCUCUUGCUCCCUCCUACAGAUCUCUCUCUCCCUCUUUCUCUCGCGCACACUCAGGGACGUGAAACUCCUACGCGGGCGUCCCCACGAUCCCACGACUCCGGGAUAGUGGACAGUCGUCUCAAGACGGCGCAGCGCGAUGGUACGAUAAUCUCGGGAGUAUUCGAGACAUCUUAAUUCAAUACGUAACGAUGUGAUAUUAUCGCCGAACAAGUUACAGAUGACAUAUGACUAGAUUAAACAAUAUCAAGAAAAAUACAAACAAGAAAUAUAUAUCAGUCUGAAUUUAUAUAUGUGGCAUUUAUGGCUGGCUGCUGAAAAGUCCGUACAUAUAUGAAAAGAGAAAGAAAACGCAAAUAUUAAAAUUAUCUGUAUGUUUUAUGAUGUGUCACCUAUGGCGACUUGAUACUUAGGCGACAAUAGGACAUUGAUGAAUCAAAAGCUUAUCUUCUAGGGUCAGACUUUAAAAUAACACACACUUUCACAUUACAAUUAAUAUGUAAGUUUGUAGAGCGUUAUAUGUUUUCGAUGAGACUCGAGAUGUACGUUAAAUAAAACGCGAAAUUUGAAUAAAUACAGAUCUGUAUAUAAUUGCGUAACUGAUACAAAUUAUUGCGAUAAAACAUCGCGAUCUGAUUAAUUUUAGACCUCUGUUGCAACUCAUAAUACAUUUUCAUUUCAACAAUUUACAUACACUUUAUAGGAACGAUGCCUGUCUUUUUUUUAUUAUUACAUAUUGGUAAUAAUUAUUUUUAUUUAUAUUUUUAUUUGUCUCGCGCGCAUUUGUAUUCAUCGUUCAUAUGUGAAUAAUUAUACGAAAAGAACGAUUCUUAAUUUAAUAUCCAAAUGUCGCGCUUUCAAAAACAAAGCAGGUGUGAUUCGCGUUACGAUUAAAGUAUUGGGAUUUGAAUACAAAAAAAGAAUAUAUGAAUCAAUCGUCGUAAGAUAAACCGUGACAUCUUCUCAAUAAAGGCACUGUUAUACUUUUCGCUAAGAACUAACGUGAUAUAUAAUGCGUGUUUUACAGAGACUCGUCGUAUUCGUACAUAUACAAGCAAUAUAUAUGUAAUAGUUUAUAUUAAACGUAGCCUAUAUGGUAGAUCACUCUGCAAAGCAGUUCAUAAGGAAUGUCGUAUCUGCGAUACAAUCCAAAAAAUAGGCUUGCUAAAAGAUUUCCGUGCAUUCCCCGUAAAGAUAUAAAUUUCGAAAAUUAAUAGAUUGCAUUCAAUUUAAAUUGUUUGUACUCCACAAAUGUGACUUGCGUACUCUAAAAAAUAAUUUUUAUAAUACAACAAAGAGAUUUCUCGUCAAUGUAGUAAAGGGACGAGUGCAACUG